AUCAAGUAGAAGUGAAAACAGAGAGAGGGCUCUCCAAGGUUCCUUGAUGAAAACUAAAGCCCACUGGAAAAGUGAAAAUUACUGCAAUAAAGGCACACCAGACCACUGUAGUUGGGCUCCUGCAAGUUCCUGAUUUGCACUGUGCUCUGCUGUCACCUGCUGGUCAUCCAAGAAAAGACAGACGUAUACCGCCCCACAUGUUGCCCCAAAGCCUUGGCCUGUAGGAGAGAGCAGUGAUGGAUAUCUAAAUUCUGCAGAUCCAGGGGCCACCAAUGGAGAGGAAAGUGAACACCCAGUAGUGGAGCUGUACAAACUGAUUAAAGAAGAGACAAAGAAAGUUGGCGAGUACAAAGAAAGCAUAAGCCAAAAAUAAUGGAACUACCAUAGGAAAUGACCAGUAUGGACAUGGGAGAAGAAAGAAAAUAUUGAAAGAGCUGACCAAAGAAGUUCAAAACAUGAGUGACAAAUUGAUCAAAGAUCGAGACUCCACAAAAAAGGUGUCAGAGAGAAGUACUGGAGAUAAAAAAAACUGUAGGGCUCAUAAAUUUCAGAAAUGACCAAUGUGAAGACAGGGAUUCUGAAACUGAAGGCACAUGGUCAAUUACUCAG
Long non-coding RNA from Heterocephalus glaber (naked mole-rat), 609 nucleotides. The record is from Ensembl. Lineage: Eukaryota; Metazoa; Chordata; Mammalia; Rodentia; Bathyergidae.